CAUAAUUGUUUAUCUUAAAAUAUUGCUCUCAAAAUAGCGGGUUGCUGUAAUAAACAGCCCUCCAACGCUAAUAGGUGAUCAGAGAUCCUCGACUAACGUGACAGUCCUAUCUUACCAAAUAAGUGUUUUAGAUCAGAUGUAAUAAGCCUAAUAAUCAAAUAUAAAUACUGAUAGAAAGGAGCUGUGUACUUAAUAAAUUAACAAAAUUUAACACAGGUAAACAGCCUUAACAAAGAGAGAUUUAAUUAGGCACAAAUAAUAUCAAUGCUGAAAAUGAUAAUACACUAAAACCCAGACUGUCACGUUGUCUCACUACACCGCUAUCAUCAUCGAGCACACAAAUCCGCCCACAACAGUGCAAUCACACCCAAGUAUUUAAUACUAGCAGAUUGCACAAAAUUAAACAGUAAAUAAAGUGAGGCAACGAAUAACUCACAGCACGUAGAUUGUCUACGUGGGAAGAUCAGCUCAGCGAACACGAAGUUCUGUCCCAGAAAACCAAUUCCGCCGCCCACGUCCGGGCCUGCACGGCGGGAGGUUGACGGAGAUACUAGAGCCGCUGCCGGAGCCGAGGGAGACGUCCACGGCACCAGCCCGAGAAGAUGAACACCGCGCAGCAGAGAGCCCAAGCACCAGGCCACGGUGGACAACAAUCAGAACAGACAGAGUACCAACAGGCACACUGAUAAUGCAACGGAGCACAGGAAGUCCACGCCGAACAAGCGCAGCACCACCUCCACACUCGUCCAGAUGCUACCAGCGAGAAUCACCACAAGAACACCAGAGAUCGAAGAAAUCAAUCGAGUUCGUGACCAGUGGAACGAGCAGGGAGAGAGAGCAGAGAACUUCCGUCGCUUGUGGAGCCGAAGCCAGAGGAUUUUUGCCUCCAUUAUAUGGAGCCGAGCACCCACCAGGCGGUUGCAAGGGAGCAGCGGCCCGCCGAGCGAGCAGCCGUAGAAGUCGGCUGGGCGUUGAACGCCUCCGCCUCCCACGUCCUCCCGGCGGCUGAUCUUUUUGCUCGCCCAAAAGCAAGAGCCGGCAUCAGCAGCCCUAGGGACUAGCUGGCUGGUGGGCUGCUCGGCCACCAGGCCUUGAGCGGCCCACUCGGCUGGCCUCCCUUUUUUUUAAUUUCAUUUCUCAUAUUUUCAAUAAAGAAAAUAAAGGGAAAAUCCCUUCAAAUGAACAGCAAUCCCCACCAUUUUCACUGUUAUUUUCUGAUCAAUGUCAUUGAGCUCCCGUACUGUUUAUAUACUACUUUUUGGCAGAGGUACUUGUUAGGUUUGAACCAAAGCCUAUCCCAGUGUACUCCAACCCUGCACGAGUAAGCGGAGGACUACGCCUUGAUCCACAAACCCUAGUGUGAGAAUCUUCGCACAAAAGGCACAUAGUACUAGGCAGAUUAUCUGCUUCUCUUACGGGGCAGGGCGUUACGGUCAUGCCCUUUAAUAUCUAUUCAUGAGCUCACUAGAGAGAAAACCCCAUUCUCUCCUGGACUGCGACCCCACAGUCAGCUCAUAUAGGUGAAAUCGUUAAGGAAAUUCUGUAGGACAAUUCCCUGCUUAUAGCAUUGACUUCAUUAAGAGCAUAUCGCUCAACCUGCCAUACAGACAGAGCACAGCAGCUCAUGAGACUCUUUAUCUUUUGUGCUCUUGGUUUCACAGUGCUUCGUUUCCUGGAGCCUGGAUCUCGGGACCUCCGGUCACACAGGACAGUUAUCCGCAGUUGAAACCGCUAACAGGGUACGAGUCCCAUUCCCAUACACGCUGCUUGGAUUGGCUUUUGAGCCAGCCCUUUGGUGAAAGGAUCAGCAAGGUUCCUUUCAGACUUGAUGUAAUCUACGGUUAUUACACCCGUCUCUCUAGCAUGCCGACAUGAAUCAAGUCGUCUUCUGAUAUGCCUCGAGGAUUUUUGGUUGUCCUUUCUACUGUUCACUUUCAGCAACACAGAAGUGUUGUCACAGCAUACUAGGACAGCCGGUAUCGGCUUUGCUAGCAUUGGAAGGUCUGACAAUAGGUCUCUCAACCAUUCAGCCUCCAAUGCUGCUGAAUCAAGUGCAACUAAUUCAGCCUCCUUGGUGGAACGUGUCGACACUGAUUGUUUAGACGAUCUCCAUGACACGACCCCACCAGCUAAAGUGAACACAUAGCCACUUGUAGACUUCAUUUGAUCCGAGUCAGAGAUCCAGUUUGCAUCACUGAAUCCUUCAAGUACUGACGGAAAUCCGGUAUAUUUAAUACCAAGAUUCAUCGCUCCCUUCAAAUACCGAAGCACUCUGUACAAGGCUACCCAGUGUCUAUCUCCUGGACUGGCCGAAUAACGAGCCAGUCUGCAUACUGCAUAUGAGAUAUCUGGUCUAGUUGCACUGCUCAGGUACAUGAGAGAUCCGAUGAUCUGCGAAUAUAGUAGCUGGUUCACAGGCUCGCCUUCAUAUUUACUGAGCGUGUAGGAUGGAUCGUAGGGCGUGGUGACUGGUUUACAGUCCAUAUGUCCAAAGCGAGUCAGGACCUUUUCCACAUAAUGGGAUUGUGACAAAGUAAUCCCAUCUUCGCCCUUUAUCAGCUUGAUGUUCAGUAUAACAUCAGCUUCACCCAAGUCCUUCAUAUCAAAGUUCUUGGAGAGGAAUAAUUUUGUCUCCAUGAUAGCCUCCAAAUCGGUCCCAAAUAUCAAUAUGUCAUCAACGUAUAAACACAUGAUGACACCUUUGCCCCCAGAGAAGCGAUAAUACACACACUUGUCGGCUUCGUUUACACAAAACCCGGCAGUGGUCAGAGUAUUAUUAAACUUCUCAUGCCAUUGUCUGGGAGCUUGCUUAAGACCGUAUAAGGAUUUAAUCAAGCGACACACUUUGCUCUCUUGUCCUUUAACCACAAAUCCUUCUGGUUGCUGCAUAUAAAUUUCCUCUUCCAGCUCUCCAUUUAGGAAUGCUGUCUUUACAUCCAUUUGAUGGACAAGAAGUUUAUAAGCAGCUGCCAGUGCUAAAAGCACACGGAUUGUGGGCAAUCGAGCCACCGGAGAAUAAGUAUCAAAAUAAUCCUCCUCUUUCUUUUGAGUAAAACCCUUAGCCACAAGACGGGCCUUGUACUUUUCAAUAGUACCAUCGGGUCUCCUCUUCCUCCUAAAGAUCCAUUUACAGCCCACAGGCUUGCAACCAGCUGGGAGAUCAGUUAUCUCCCAAGUUCCGUUCGAGAUGAUUGAAUCCAUCUCGCUACGGACAGCCUCCCUCCAGUACUCUGCAUCCGGAGAUGUAUAUGCCUCUGUGAGGGAGCGUGGUUCUUCAUCCACUAGAUAGAUAAUAUAAUCAUCACCCAGAGACUUUUCAGUCCUUUGUCUCUUACUCCUCCUUAACUCCAAAUCUGGAGUCUGGUCAUGGACACUCGAGGGCAGAGAAUAUGUCCGAGAUGGACCAUCUGGGGCUACUACUUCCUUAUCCCGCAUAGGGAAGAUGCUCUCAAAGAAUGUCACAUCCCGAGACUCCAUUAUUACAUUUACAGCGAUUUCGCUUGUCUCGGAAUGGACCACUAGAAAUCUAUAAGCUGCACUGUUAUGUGCAUAACCCAGGAAGACACAGUCUACGGUCUUAGGGCCUAACUUUCUCUUCUUCGGCAACGGGACAUUCACCUUUGCAAGGCAACCCCACGUCCGAAGAUGCGAAAGAUCUGGCUUCCUUCCUUUAAAUCCUUCAUAGGGUGUGGCCUCACGGUUGCGAGGCGGCACCCUGUUCAGGACAUAGCAUACUGUGAGUACUGCCUCGCCCCACCAUAUGUCAGGCAUCCCCGAACUUUGCAACAAAGCAUUAGCUAAGUCACACACCGUUCAGUUCUUCCUUUCAGCUACCCCAUUUGACUGAGGUGAAUAUGGAGCAGUGGUUUCAUGAAUGAUUCCACACUCUUUGCAGUACUCAUCAAAAAGGUUGGAAAGGUAUUCACCUCCUCUAUCAGACCGUAACCUUUUAAUUUUCUUGUCUAGCUGAUUUUCAACUUCAGUCUUAUAGAUCUUAAAGUGUUCUAGUGCCUCAUCUUUAGUUCUGAGUAAGUAAAUAUAACAGAACCUGGUAGCAUCAUCUAUCAAGGUAAGAAAGUAUCUUUUACCGCCUUUUGUGAUUAUACCAUUCAUCUCACAGAUAUCUGAGUGAAUUAGUUCUAAAGGAGUGGUACUUCUGCCUUCAACCGUAUGAAACGGUUUUCUAGGCUGCUUGGCUUGCACACAAAUACCACAUUUUACACCUUUAACAUGUUUAUAUUCAGGAAUUAAAGACAUGUCACUUAAUCUCUUAAUGGCCUCAAAAUUCACAUGACACAAACGGGAAUGCCAUAUAUUAUUAAUGGAAUCGUUAUUACAGACCACAUUAACAUGGUAAGAAGAAUGAUUGUUCAAAACAGAAAGACGGAACAAACCGCCUGACUCAUAUGACUUUCCAACAAAAGUACCAAACUUAGACAGGACCACUUUAUUAGACUCAAACACUAAUUUGAGACCCUGUCGACAUAACAGCGACACUGAAAUGAGGUUCCGGCUCAUCGAGGGCACAUAGAGUACGUCCUUCAGCACGAGCGUCUUUCCUGAAGUUAACUUCAGGUAGACCUGUCCAGUACCUCGAACUGCUGCCGGAACACCAUUUCCCAUCAAGACUGGUGCGCUGUUGAAUCCCUGGAAUGAAGAGAACAUGGAUCGAUCAGCACAAAUAUGAACAGUAGCACCGGAAUCCAUCCACCAGUCAUCUGAUGGACUUGCCAUAAAGGCCUGAAGUGCAUACCCUGGGGUGGAGUUAACCACCACGUUCCCUUCUUUGCGCUGAGGUGGAGGACCUUUUCCCUUCCUAAGUUUGCACCUCCGAGCUGUAUGCCCGGAGACACCACAAACGUAGCAGAUAAAGUCCUCCUUUUUCUUCUUCAUCUUUUUGGACUUAGGUUGGUUCAUAUUCUUCUGUGGAGAGUUCUUCUUCUUCUUCUGGAAUUUUCUAUCUCCACCCUUCUCAACAACGUGAGCCUGGAGUUGCUGGGAUGGCUUGUUACUGGACCUUGCACGCUCUUCCACAUUAAUCGCAGCUGACAACUCAGUGAGAGUCAUUUGCUUCUUCAUGUGGCGGCGUGAAGUCACAAAGUCUCGCCAAGAAGGCGGGAGCUUUGCCAGUAUUGCAUUCACCUGAAAACUGUCUGGUAGGACGCAGCCAUAUUGGACCAAGUCCCUAACAAGGAGUUGAAUCUCCUGUAGCUGCUCCAUAACAGACCUUCCCUCAACCAUUUUAUAGUUGAGGUAGUUUUCCGUUGUGAAUGACUCAUUGCCAUUGUCAACUUCAGAGAACUCGUUCUCAAGAUCAGUCCAUAGACCCUUAGCGGAGGUAAAAGCAGAGUAUACGUCAAAUAAGCGGUUCGACAAAACGUUCAGCAGACGAGACAAGCAUGCCUCAUUGGCUUCGUCCCACUUGGCCUUCUCCGCUAGUGCGGUGGCCUUCGCUGCAUCAUCAGAAUCAUCUGAUGUAGCCUGGGGAACAGCCGACGUCACUACCCAAAAUAAUUUUAGGUCAGUGAGCCACAUGCGAGUCUUAAUCUGCCAGCGCUUAAAGCUAGCGCCGUCGAACGCUUCAGGCUUAAUGACAUCAGAACUGGAGGCCAUAAUACGGAUUGGUUUUCUGGAUUGUUGUAAAUUUAGAGAAAUAAGUGACAUGCUUUCUACAUAUUUAAAUAGAUUAAAUAUUCUAAUUCCGAAUAAAACAAGUAUAUAACUCAGACAAAUGCCAUAUGUAAUUAUAGCAGCAAUGAACAGUAGCAAUUCUAAGACAUGUAAACAUGUAAAAUAGCUACACAGGUCCAUUUGGAAAUUAAACAUGGCUUGCAGAUGAAGAAGGCAGAUUAAACAAAUAAACAUAAUUGUUUAUCUUAAAAUAUUGCUCUCAAAAUAGCGGGUUGCUGUAAUAAAUAGCCCUCCAACGCUAAUAGGUGAUCAGAGAUCCUCGACUAACGUGACAGUCCUAUCUUACCAAAUAAGGGUUUUAGAUCAGAUGUAAUAAGCCUAAUAAUCAAAUAUAAAUACUGAUAGAAAGGAGUUGUGUACUUAAUAAAUUAACAAAAUU
Molecule: long non-coding RNA, 6070 nt
Filed under: Zea mays
Lineage: Eukaryota; Viridiplantae; Streptophyta; Magnoliopsida; Poales; Poaceae
Description: long non-coding RNA (ZMAY_LNC000533)
Source: RNAcentral